CGCUGAAGGCUUCUCGCAGGCAACUGGCUGCCAAAUUUCACGUCAGCAACCUCAGCCUGCACUUCUGAACAGCAAGAUUCAAUGAGAGCCUUUGAUUCUUCAUGAAAAGAUGGGUCCAGUGCUCCAGGGUGCAUCCAUCCUGUGACUCCCGCCUGCUCUGGACAGGACCAGAGGACAUGUGGACAUUAGUACA
Molecule: long non-coding RNA, 193 nt
Filed under: Cavia porcellus (domestic guinea pig)
Lineage: Eukaryota; Metazoa; Chordata; Mammalia; Rodentia; Caviidae
Description: lncRNA (ENSCPOG00000035055.1)
Source: RNAcentral